AUUGAACGCUGGCGGCAUGCCUUACACAUGCAAGUCGAACGGUAACAGGUCUUCGGAUGCUGACGAGUGGCGAACGGGUGAGUAAUACAUCGGAACGUGCCCGAUCGUGGGGGAUAACGAAGCGAAAGCUUUGCUAAUACCGCAUACGAUCUACGGAUGAAAGCGGGGGAUCUUCGGACCUCGCGCGGACGGAGCGGCCGAUGGCAGAUGAGGUAGUUGGUGGGAUAAAAGCUUACCAAGCCGACGAUCUGUAGCUGGUCUGAGAGGAUGAUCAGCCACACUGGGACUGAGACACGGCCCAGACUCCUACGGGAGGCAGCAGUGGGGAAUUGUGGACAAUGGGCGCAAGCCUGAUCCAGCCAUGCCGCGUGCAGGAUGAAGGCCUUCGGGUUGUAAACUGCUUUUGUACGGAACGAAAAGGUGCCUUCUAAUAAAGGGCGCUCAUGACGGUACCGGAAGAAUAAGCACCGGCUAACUACGUG
Molecule: ribosomal RNA, 482 nt
Filed under: uncultured bacterium
Lineage: Bacteria
Description: partial 16S ribosomal RNA
Rfam family: Bacterial small subunit ribosomal RNA
Source: RNAcentral